UACGGGAGGCAGCAGUGAGGAAUAUUGGUCAAUGGUCGAAAGACUGAACCAGCCAUGCCGCGUGCAGGAUGAAUGUUCUAUGAAUUGUAAACUGCUUUUCUACAGGAAGAAACCUACCCUCGUGAGGGUGUCUGACGGUACUGUAGGAAUAAGCAUCGGCUAACUCCGUGCCAGCAGCCGCGGUAAUACGGAGGAUGCAAGCGUUAUCCGGAUUUAUUGGGUUUAAAGGGUGCGUAGGCGGAAUAUUAAGUCAGUGGUGAAAUCCUUCGGCUCAACCGAAGAACUGCCAUUGAUACUGAUAUUCUUGAAUGUAGUUGAGGUAGGCGGAAUGUGUAAUGUAGCGGUGAAAUGCUUAGAUAUUACACAGAACACCGAUUGCGAAGGCAGCUUACUAAACUAUGAUUGACGCUAAUGCUUUGUUGGCGUGGGGAGCGAACAGGAUUAGAUACCCUGGUAGUCCCCCCCGUUACUAUGAUCACUCGUUGUUUGUGAUAUACCAUAAGCGACCCAAG
This 512-nucleotide ribosomal RNA is filed under the name uncultured bacterium. RNAcentral's name for it is "bacterial SSU rRNA". It matches the Rfam family "Bacterial small subunit ribosomal RNA", at positions 340 to 852 of the family's 1533-position model. The record is from RNAcentral.